UGCAAGUCGAACGAAGCCUUCGGGCUUAGUGGCGGACGGGUGAGUAACGCGUGGGAACAUACCCAAAGGUACGGAAUAGCCUCGGGAAACUGGGAGUAAUACCGUAUGUGCCCUUCGGGGGAAAGAUUUAUCGCCUUUGGAUUGGCCCGCGUUGGAUUAGGUAGUUGGUGGGGUAAUGGCCUACCAAGCCGACGAUCCAUAGCUGGUUUGAGAGGAUGAUCAGCCACACUGGGACUGAGACACGGCCCAG
RNAcentral lists this ribosomal RNA (250 nucleotides) under uncultured bacterium. Its description in RNAcentral is "partial 16S ribosomal RNA". It matches the Rfam family "Bacterial small subunit ribosomal RNA", at positions 56 to 334 of the family's 1533-position model. The record is from RNAcentral.